RNAcentral lists this ribosomal RNA (478 nucleotides) under uncultured bacterium. Its description in RNAcentral is "bacterial SSU rRNA". It matches the Rfam family "Bacterial small subunit ribosomal RNA", at positions 30 to 507 of the family's 1533-position model. The record is from RNAcentral.
AUUGAACGCUGGCGGCAUGCUUUACACAUGCAAGUCGAACGGUAACAGGUUAAGCUGACGAGUGGCGAACGGGUGAGUAAUGCAUCGGGACGUGCCCGGUCGUGGGGGAUAACGCAGCGAAAGCUGCGCUAAUACCGCAUACGAUCUGAGGAUGAAAGCGGGGGACCGUAAGGCCUCGCGCGAUCGGAGCGGCCGAUGUCAGAUUAGGUAGUUGGUGGGGUAAAAGGCUCACCAAGCCGACGAUCUGUAGCUGGUCUGAGAGGACGACCAGCCACACUGGGACUGAGACACGGCCCAGACUCCUACGGGAGGCAGCAGUGGGGAAUUUUGGACAAUGGACGCAAGUCUGAUCCAGCCAUUCCGCGUGCAGGAUGAAGGCCCUCGGGUUGUAAACUGCUUUUGUACGGAACGAAAAGGUUUCUAUUAAUACUAGGAGCUCAUGACGGUACCGUAAGAAUAAGCACCGGCUAACUACGUG